GGGCCGGUGGUGUCAAUUGGGAGCACAGGAGAGUGUGAUUCUCCGUAUGCGGGUUCGAAUCUCGCCCAGUCCA
Molecule: transfer RNA, 73 nt
Filed under: Candidatus Sulfopaludibacter sp. SbA3
Lineage: Bacteria; Pseudomonadati; Acidobacteriota; Terriglobia; Bryobacterales; Solibacteraceae
Description: tRNA-His
Rfam family: tRNA
About the family: Transfer RNA (tRNA) molecules are approximately 80 nucleotides in length. Their secondary structure includes four short double-helical elements and three loops (D, anti-codon, and T loops). Further hydrogen bonds mediate the characteristic L-shaped molecular structure. tRNAs have two regions of fundamental functional importance: the anti-codon, which is responsible for specific mRNA codon recognition, and the 3' end, to which the tRNAs corresponding amino acid is attached (by aminoacyl-tRNA synthetases). tRNAs cope with the degeneracy of the genetic code in two manners: having more than one tRNA (with a specific anti-codon) for a particular amino acid; and 'wobble' base-pairing, i.e. permitting non-standard base-pairing at the 3rd anti-codon position.
Source: RNAcentral